AUGGAUAUGAUGAACUUUGUUGCAAUUGUUUGCUUAUGGUCACACUGCAUAUACUGGUUGAGAGCAGAACUGGGAGGGCAAUUAAAGCAAUCUCCUUUAGUGGGAAUGGAUCUGCAUGAGCAGAACUGUGCACCAUGUAAGGGCCAGCUGGCACUGUCCUGUAGCUGUCACAGAAAUGUCUCCAGCCUCCUUCUGCAAAGCUCCAUAACCAGGUCUGGUCAGUGUGGGAAGUCAGAAACCUUCAGAGUAACAGUGGUGGCUUGAACAACAAAUACCAUUAAUCUGGAGAGAAUCAAAUAAUUUUAUCUGGUUUUGUUUGCUUUACAUCUCUGUAUGUUUUAAAGCUGCCUCAGAAAUUUUGAAUCAGGUAAUGCUUUCUUGUCAGUCUCUGGGUUCACUAUUUAGCAGGAUCACUGGGUCUUAUAUCACAUAGGUGGGGCUAGGCACUUCUCCUCCUGUCUCUCAGCUCAGGUGUCAUGAGCGAUGUCUGUAUCAAAGGCUCACAUUACAAAAUCUUGAUGCUGCUUCUUUUUUAAUCAAGUAGUAUAAUUGCCCUCAAAAUCCCUCCUCAUGACUUAUGAGUUCUAAUUAUAUUUUUCUCUUCAAAUAGAGGGUUUGGCUUUUUUUUUUCCUCUAGUUCCUAAGGAUAAAAUAUGCUUCCUGGAAAUAAUUGGCCCGACUGCCCUUUCUUGCAAAAAUACACUGGAAAUUCUCUGGAAGUUGCUCUGGAAUAUGUUUUUCAUUUUGAAAACCCUACUCCAAUGGUAAGCUAUUACAUCCCAUGANUUUAAUAUUUUGAGCCUGCUUUGCCUUUCUCCUAAUCCUACCUCACAGCAGGGAGUUCACUGGUGAGUGGCCAGCAGCAAACCUGCCACAUGCCUAAACAGAGAAAUUUUCACUGAAAAUUAUGUUUAUAUUGUAUUUUUAUCUAUUUCCUGUAAAGAGAAUGAGCAAGCCAGAAAAAUUAUAUUAACCCAUCUUCCACCUUAUAUCUUUUCCCCAGCCCAUUUCCAAAGCAGUUAGGCUGAGUCUUCCAUUCAGGUGCAUCUUCUCUUUAUGGUGUACUGCAAAUGCUCCUGAUGACAGCAUUUCCAUCCAAGGCAGACCUUCCUGUGGCUAACUGAGCAACUCAGAGUUGUCCCUGAGGAGCACUGGGGCUGUUCCACAUUGAUUGAGCUGCAGAGGUGUACAUGAAAAAUGAAGUGGAAUGGAUGUCCUACUGGUGUCUUGAUCAUUUCAGGAACCAAUUGGCUUGAACAAAUGGUGAAGGAGUUGGCAGAUGCCAAAAAUGCAGAAGAGGAAAUGAAAGAGAGAAUAAAUGCUGAAAAGAAGCUAGAGAUAUUUCA
Molecule: long non-coding RNA, 1346 nt
Filed under: Zonotrichia albicollis (white-throated sparrow)
Lineage: Eukaryota; Metazoa; Chordata; Aves; Passeriformes; Passerellidae
Description: lncRNA (ENSZALG00000001413.1)
Source: RNAcentral